AGAAAACACUGCCUUGCUCUGGGAACUGUUCCUGGAUGUUUCCUGCAAUAUGUGAGGAAUCAAAAGAAAACACCGAGAGCAGCAGAAUCGUCUUUGUGCAGGAAUCAUUGAGGAUUUUCCAUCAUAUAUGUGCUUGGUGCAAUGAUGUCUCUGUGUUAUGCUGUGUUCUGCAUCCUGAAGGAUUGCUCAGCAAGUCUUGGAGUACAUGGCAGAGGCAACUUCACAUGAUUUUAUGGGACAAAUUGAAGGAUUAUCCUCUCUCCACCCCACCUGACUGCUCAGGAGAAUGCAGAGACUGACUCUCUAGCCUUCCCUGCAGUGUGAAGUUCCCAUGCUCAUGUGCCCUAAAAGCAAACCUCUGCAAUAUUUAAAGUGAAGGUCUCAGGGAGCAGACCUCAGCCUCCUCACCAGCUGUGAUUACUCCCUGAAGCAGAUCACAUCCUGCACAAUUACAAAGAUGAUACCACUGAAGACCACACCUGGUGAGCACAAAGGAGCCUCAGUUAAGAAUGAACAAGCAAUGGAAAGGUGGGGGGUGUCUUUUAUGACAUUCAGAGCUGGAGGGGAUGUGCACAAUUCUGCCAGAGGGCUUCCAGCUGUACCUUUAGGACCGACUUAAAUGCUUUCUCUUUGUGGAUCUAUAGGCAUUAUACCAUUUCCCUUUGGUACCCAAGCUCUAAAAAGCCCCAGUAACUCCACAGCAAACUGCAGGGUGUAGUGGAGACAUGGCCUUCAUCAGUGCCUGCUGCCCAGCUCCCUCAGCAGCUUGGCAGCAUGUGGUUUCCCACUGUAGCUGAUGUCUCAACACAGCUAAAGCUCCACCAUGCUCUGUCUUAGGCAGCUUUGUCAGUUUCAUGCUCUCAAGCACGUUUCAAUCUGCUUUUCCUUUCCUGUUUCACUGUGCUCCUUUUCAAAGUGGUGCAUGUGGACAGAGAAGCCUUGAAAAGGAUGAUCCCAGAGCAGCAGGUUCCCUGCAGAAAUCAGAGGCAAAGGCUAAAGAAAAGGUAAUCUAUACCCUGUAUCUUGUUAAGCCACAGUGUAUUCAUAUUUCAGAAAGGCUGGUUUUGAAGUGGCAGGUAGUUUAAAAGUUGACCUGCUCAGCCACAGGACUUCCAAGCAACAAGAGGUGUGGUUGAAUUUGAGCUGUACAUGCUGUGAGAACUUCCCCACCACUUCUAAUUUUCUGAAGCUGGAUAAGUCCUCUCAGAACUCUGUGCUUGCAGAGGCUUUUGGCUUUGCACAAUGAUUUAACUGUAUUUGCCCCUGUAAGUUUUAUCUUCUGUUUGUUUGUGCAAUACUUUAAUGGCUUUGACUUUGUGACUUUCAGGCAUCUAAAGUGCUACAGCAGAUGGGAACGAUAACAUUUUCAUUAGAAAGCAUUGCCAAUCUGGGUUUUAAUUCACACUUUUCCAGGUGCUGAUCUGUGGUCCAGUGACUGAAAUGUAUGUCUAAAGCAUUUUCUUUUAUAUUUUUUUUCUUGGGCAAAACCAAGAAGACAAAUCCUACACUUUCAUGUUGUGUCCAUCCAUGGCCUGUGAGAGCCAACAUACAACCACAAUAAUGUCCCUUUAGAAACAUAGCUCCUGUGUAAGGGCACACUAAGGGCCCACCAGUGUGCCUGCUUCCUAAAGGAUGUGAGCACUCAAGCUUUGAAAUCUGCCUCUUUUCUUGCAGAGCAACAAGCCAUGCAGUUGCUCUAUAUCACUGAUAUAAAGCUCCCCAGCCUAAGUCCUGAAGCCUGCAAAGACAUUGUACUGAAGGGAAAAGCUGGAAAAAUUGGAUGAGCAAGUUGUGCUUCAUCUCUUUGGGCUUAACCUGGGUACCAGUAAACUCUUUUUUUUUUUUUAAGCUGCUAGUUAAUACUCUCACACAAGCAGAUAACUUGGUAAAUUUUUCUCAGGUGAUAAUAAAUAAUGUUUUGCAUUUAUUGAUUAUUUAUUUAGCAUUUUUUUGGCAAACACUUGUUUUAUAGUGACUCAUCUAUUUAGCAUAGGUUAACAUUUCAGAAGUAUAGAAGUGCAGAGAUUCCCCUGUAAAAUUCUACCUGAAAGAAAACAGUUCAAAAUUAUUCAACUGAAGGCAAUAGCAAGUCUGAGACUAAAACUAAAGUAACAACUAGAAAUAAAUUAAUCAGCAUGAACAGCAUAUUCUUCAGCAUUUUUGUACCAGUAACAUAGCUGUAGUAAACCUGGCCCUGGCAUCCAUCAGUGCUCUUGUUGCUUUGUCCCAUAUUCUGUGGCAGUAUCUGCUAGUAAUGCAUUAACAAAAAUCACCUUCCCAAGGCAUGGAAACACUUUUUUUAGCUCCUGACGUUAUAAAGGUAACUUGAAUCAAUAGAGCUGGCCACUCACUGUGAGAUCGGAAAUGCUGUGGGAGGUAAUUGCUCCACUGCAAAUGACUUCACAUAAUUUGAUAGUUGCUAGGUCUCAUGCAUUAUUCUUGCUGUUAAUCAAUUGUGAUUUAUUAUCCAUUUCUACUCCAUUUAUCAUCACUUUACUGUUCAAGGUUUUUCCUGAUCUUUGCCUCUCAGAGCCCAGUCUCACAUUUCACUGCUGGCAGUUCAAAUCAAGAAUAAAAUAGAUUAAACACUUGAAAUGCUAUGCCCAACAAAUGCAUUCCACUUGUACUGUGUCUGGAGGGUGUCCUGGGCAGUCCAGUCUUUCCAUUUUUCAUUUCUUGCGGUAAGUCAAAAAGAGUAUGCCAAUAAGACUCCCCUUUUUGGAGUAACAAUGAUUAGAUUUCACUUCACUUCCAAAUCUAGCUACAAAUACACAGCACUGUGCCUUUUCAUUGUGCAGCUGACAUUUGUUGAGCGUGUCUUGGAAUGUUUUGAAAAUACACUGUUAUCCAUUACUUGUGUUUUCUGUGCUUCUAAGGGUUGUCAGACUCAACCCCUUUUGGACAGUAGAUAAAGACAGUGCUGGCUGAUCUGCAUUCCCUUCCACUCAGUUUUAACAUUUCCAUUCUGUUAAUAUUGCUCUAGCAUUGCUCUGCUUGAGGGAGGCUGGACCAGAUGACCCACUGCGGUCCCUUCCAACCUUAUCCAUUAUGUGAUUCUGUGAUUCCCAAGUGAGAGAUGUGGGUGAGAGCCCUCAGGUGAGAAGUGGGAAGAGUGGCCAGAGUUCCCUGCAGAUUUUCCAGAGCUGUAAGUGGGCUCUAUGCAUACCCAGGGGGAGCAGGCAGGAUAGCCUCAAAAUGCCUCUUUGCUUGGAGUCUGUCCAGAAUUCUAGCACAAUGUUUUCACAAUUUUCAGGGCUGCAUGUGAAAUAAGACUUUGUCAAAACAGGGAGGGGAGAGGGCUUCUCUGUGCCAAGAUAGCAAGGAUCAGCAGCAGAACCUGGAAUAAAGUUCUUUGUUUGCCCCAACACCUACAGUGCUUGUGUUGGAUUGUUUUAUGGGCAGUAAGGCAGGGGGUGUAGGUGACAGCUCAGGGCUAAGUAACUCUGAUGAGGCUCCUCCUGU
This is a long non-coding RNA of Haemorhous mexicanus (house finch), 3462 nucleotides long. RefSeq lists it as uncharacterized. The record is from RefSeq and is a predicted model, not a curated record. The transcript is spliced from 3 exons. Lineage: Eukaryota; Metazoa; Chordata; Aves; Passeriformes; Fringillidae.